UGUUAGCGGCGGACGGGUGAGUAACACGUGGGUAACCUGCCUGUAAGACUGGGAUAACUCCGGGAAACCGGGGCUAAUACCGGAUGGUUGUCUGAACCGCAUGGUUCAGACAUAAAAGGUGGCUUCGGCUACCACUUACAGAUGGACCCGCGGCGCAUUAGCUAGUUGGUGAGGUACGGCUCACCAAGGCGACGAUGCGUAGCCGACCUGAGAGGGUGAUCGGCCACACUGGGACUGAGACACGGGCCCAGACUCCUACGGGAGGCAGCAGUAGGGAAUCUUCCGCAAUGGACGAAAGUCUGACGGAGCAACGCCGCGUGAGUGAUGAAGGUUUUCGGAUCGUAAAGCUCUGUUGUUAGGGAAGAACAAGUGCCGUUCAAAUAGGGCGGCACCUUGACGGUACCUAACCAGAAAGCCACGGCUAACUACGUGCCAGCAGCCGCGGUAAUACGUAGGUGGCAAGCGUUGUCCGGAAUUAUUGGGCGUAAAGGGCUCGCAGGCGGUUUCUUAAGUCUGAUGUGAAAGCCCCCGGCUCAACCGGGGAGGGUCAUUGGAAACUGGGGAACUUGAGUGCAGAAGAGGAGAGUGGAAUUCCACGUGUAGCGGUGAAAUGCGUACAGAUGUGGAGGAACACCAGUGGCGAAGGCGACUCUCUGGUCUGUAACUGACGCUGAGGAGCGAAAGCGUGGGGAGCGAACACGAUUAGAUACCCUGGGAGUCCACGCCGCAUACGAUGAGUGCUAAAUGUUAAGGGGUUUGCGCCCC
RNAcentral lists this ribosomal RNA (765 nucleotides) under Bacillus amyloliquefaciens. Its description in RNAcentral is "bacterial SSU rRNA". It matches the Rfam family "Bacterial small subunit ribosomal RNA", at positions 90 to 839 of the family's 1533-position model. Lineage: Bacteria; Bacillati; Bacillota; Bacilli; Caryophanales; Bacillaceae. The record is from RNAcentral.